UAAAGGGUUCUUUUUGGAACCACCAAAAGAAGCCUACAUUUAAAAG
Non-coding RNA from Takifugu rubripes (torafugu), 46 nucleotides. The record is from Rfam. NCBI's taxonomy places the organism in Eukaryota, Metazoa, Chordata, Actinopteri, Tetraodontiformes, Tetraodontidae.